AACGAACGCUGGCGGCAUGCCUAAUACAUGCAAGUCGAACGAGAUCUUCGGAUCUAGUGGCGCACGGGUGCGUAACGCGUGGGAAUCUGCCCUUGGGUUCGGAAUAACUUCUGGAAACGGAAGCUAAUACCGGAUGAUGACGUAAGUCCAAAGAUUUAUCGCCCAAGGAUGAGCCCGCGUAGGAUUAGCUAGUUGGUGGGGUAAAGGCCCACCAAGGCGACGAUCCUUAGCUGGUCUGAGAGGAUGAUCAGCCACACUGGGACUGAGACACGGCCCAGACUCCUACGGGAAGCAGCAGUAGGGAAUAUUGGACAAUGGGCGAAAGCCUGAUCCAGCAAUGCCGCGUGAGUGAUGAAGGCCUUAGGGUUGUAAAGCUCUUUUACCCGGGAUGAUAAUGACAGUACCGGGAGAAUAAGCGCCGGCUAACUCCGUG
RNAcentral lists this ribosomal RNA (433 nucleotides) under uncultured bacterium. RNAcentral's name for it is "partial 16S ribosomal RNA". It matches the Rfam family "Bacterial small subunit ribosomal RNA", at positions 29 to 507 of the family's 1533-position model. The record is from RNAcentral.